ACUCCUACGGGAGGCAGCAGUGGGGAAUAUUGGACAAUGGGCGCAAGCCUGAUCCAGCCAUGCCGCGUGAGUGAUGAAGGCCCUAGGGUUGUAAAGCUCUUUCACCGGUGAAGAUAAUGACGGUAACCGGAGAAGAAGCCCCGACUAACUUCGUGCCAGCAGCCGCGGUAAUACGAAGGGGGCUAGCGUUGUUCGGAUUUACUGGGCGUAAAGCGCACGUAGGCGGACUAUUAAGUCAGGGGUGAAAUCCCGGGGCUCAACCCCGGAACUGCCUUUGAUACUGGUAGUCUUGAGUUCGAGAGAGGUGAGUGGAAUUCCGAGUGUAGAGGUGAAAUUCGUAGAUAUUCGGAGGAACACCAGUGGCGAAGGCGGCUCACUGGCUCGAUACUGACGCUGAGGUGCGAAAGCGUGGGGAGCAAACAGGAUUAGAAACCCUGGUAGUCCCAUGAU
This 450-nucleotide ribosomal RNA is filed under the name uncultured organism. RNAcentral's name for it is "partial 16S ribosomal RNA". It matches the Rfam family "Bacterial small subunit ribosomal RNA", at positions 335 to 801 of the family's 1533-position model. The record is from RNAcentral.